RNAcentral lists this ribosomal RNA (306 nucleotides) under uncultured fungus. Its description in RNAcentral is "bacterial SSU rRNA". It matches the Rfam family "Eukaryotic small subunit ribosomal RNA", at positions 300 to 596 of the family's 1831-position model. Lineage: Eukaryota; Fungi. The record is from RNAcentral.
CAAAUUUCUGCCCUAUCAACUUUCGAUGGGUAGGAUAGUGGCCUUACCAUGGUUUCAACGGGUAACGGGGAAUUAGGGUUCUAUUCCGGAGAGGGAGCCUGAGAAAGGUACACAUCCAAGGAAGGCAGAGGCGCGCAAAUUACCCAAUCCCGACUCGGGGAGGUAGUGACAAUAAAUACUUGAUUACAGGGGCACUUUUGGGUCUUGUUAAUUUGGAAUGAGGUACAAUCUAAAUCCCUUAACGAGGAACAAUUUGGAGGGCAAGUCUGGUGCCAGCAAGACGGGGUAAUUCCAGGUCCCAAAUAA